AGCGAACGCUGGCGGCAGGCUUAACACAUGCAAGUCGAACGGGCGUAGCAAUACGUCAGUGGCAGACGGGUGAGUAACGCGUGGGAACGUACCUUUUGGUUCGGAACAACCCAGGGAAACUUGGGCUAAUACCGGGAUAAGCCCUUACGGGGGAAAGAUUUAUCGCCGAAAGAUCGGCCCGCGUCUGAUUAGCUAGUUGGUGAGGUAACGGCUCACCAAGGCAACGAUCAGUAGCUGGUCUGAGAGGAUGAUCAGCCACAUUGGGACUGAGACACGGCCCAAACUCCUACGGGAGGCAGCAGUGGGGAAUAUUGGACAAUGGGCGCAAGCCUGAUCCAGCCAUGCCGCGUGAGUGAUGAAGGCCCUAAGGUUGUAAAGCUCUUUUGUGCGGGAAGAUAAUGACGGUACCGCAAGAAUAAGCCCCGGCUAACUUCGUGCCAGCCGCCGCAGUAAG
This 454-nucleotide ribosomal RNA is filed under the name uncultured bacterium. RNAcentral describes it as "bacterial SSU rRNA". It matches the Rfam family "Bacterial small subunit ribosomal RNA", at positions 29 to 524 of the family's 1533-position model. The record is from RNAcentral.